This 279-nucleotide ribosomal RNA is filed under the name uncultured bacterium. RNAcentral describes it as "partial 16S ribosomal RNA". It matches the Rfam family "Bacterial small subunit ribosomal RNA", at positions 506 to 784 of the family's 1533-position model. The record is from RNAcentral.
UGCCAGCCGCUGCGGUAAUACAGAGGGGGCAAGCGUUAUCCGGAUUUAUUGGGCGUAAAGCGCGCGUAGGCGGCUUGUUAAGUCAGAUGUGAAAACCGGGGGCUCAACCCGCGGCCUGCAUCUGAAACUGGCAGGCUUGAGUCUGGUAGAGGAAAGUGGAAUUCCUGGUGUAGCGGUGAAAUGCGCAGAUAUCAGGAGGAACACCAGUGGCGAAGGCGGCUUUCUGGGCCACGACUGACGCUGAGGCGCGAAAGCUAGGGGAGCGAACAGGAUUAGAUA